This 76-nucleotide transfer RNA is filed under the name Pseudomonas aeruginosa. Its description in RNAcentral is "tRNA-Ala". It matches the Rfam family "tRNA". From Rfam's summary of the family: Transfer RNA (tRNA) molecules are approximately 80 nucleotides in length. Lineage: Bacteria; Pseudomonadati; Pseudomonadota; Gammaproteobacteria; Pseudomonadales; Pseudomonadaceae. RNAcentral also lists the same sequence under 1 other name. The record is from RNAcentral.
GGGUCUAUAGCUCAGCUGGGAGAGCGCUUGCAUGGCAUGCAAGAGGUCGACGGUUCGAUCCCGUCUAGCUCCACCA